UUCCCCUCCCGUAACCCUACCUCCUCCUCUCCUCUGAGCCGCCGCCGCCGGUCCUCCUCCUCUCCUCUGCGCCGCCGCCGCCCGUCCUCCACCUCUCCUCUGCGCUGCCGCUGCCCGUCUUCCUCCUCUCCUCUGCGUCGCCGCCGCCCGUCCUCCUCCUCUCCUCUGCGCCGCCUCCCUCCGCCGCUCGUGCCGCCGCUUCCUUGUCGAGCUUGACGUCCUCAGGAGGAGAGGAAGCUGGCGCUGCUCUUCCCGAGGAACGCGCCGUUGCGCCAUCGAUAGGAGAAGGCCAGGCGGAGCGCGCCGUCGCCACCGGCUGGCGCGUCGACGGGAGGAGGCCAGGCGGGGUGCGCCGUUGCCACCGGCCGCGCCGUGGGUGACUCCUCUGCCACCUCACUUCUCCUCCUCAUCCUCUCCCCGUCACGGCGCAGCUCGGACAUGCCGCGGGUACAUAUCAAGAGGGGAUGGAGGAGCCGGACAUGGAUGUAGAGAAGGCGGCCAGACCCGAGUUCGUCCACCCCUGCUAUGCUAAAGUUGAUGACUAGCAGGAAUUGCAGCAUUGUAAAUCCGCUGAAUUGAUCAGAUAAUACGGAUGGACGAGGUCACACAAGCCGUUGAAAACUUGAAAAAGGAAUGGAGCCAAGCAGUUGCACAGCUUGAGGUGUGCAGUGCUGCAAUUGAAUCUUGUGGGAAGAUGGGAAAAGGGACAGAAGAAGCAAUGUCUCUUCCUGGUUGAACGGUUCUGCGCAGGAUGGACUGCAGUGCAGACUUGAUCUUCUGGCAGAGCAGCUACCCACUUUUGAAGAAGUUCAGUCUGGACAGGCAACCCUAGGCUCAUGGAAGGACCAAUAUCAGAGGCUGCGUGUGAGCCUGAGGAAUGCUAACUUACAAGCAAAAGCGAACAUUGGAAAGGCUGCUCAAGAAGAGAGGGAGCUUCUUCUGGGAGGUGGAGAAGAGUCCACUAUCCGGAGGCGUAAUCUCCAGUAGAGGGAGCUAGCUUGCCUGUAAUAUAAGGUGCUCUCACAAUCUAAUUUUGUAUUGUUGGUAUAUUUUCGGAAUAUUUGAGACGUUAGUUCUAGAAUGGGUUAUGGGUUUGAUGAUCUGUUAAGUUUCAUGGGGAUUUCCUGCAAGUGUAGAACUCGUGAAGGCCUCCAUAGGCUAUGAAUUAGUUCUAAUGGAACAAGUCUAUGUAUUCCAUCGCGUUUUCACAACAUGUAACUGAACAGUGGAUCAGGUGAUUGCAAGCAAUCUGCAGUGCUUAAAGUUCAGGAUGACCAUUUGGGGUGUACCAGGGUGGCCGGCCGAUGCAUGGAUGUGUCGCCAGUGCCCAGUUGCCGCCACACGUACAUGCAAGCAAAGUAGCCCACUUUAUCCUAUACAGCGUGUGUGGUCGCUCAACGUGCCAGGCGAGCACCCUAGCCUUGAAGUCUCACAGCCUAGGCACUGUAGCCUCUUGCGCAGGAGUGGCCAAGAGUGGACGCUUGCUUUGCUUUCUCUUCCGUUCCCGGCUGGCCAUAUUGAUUUGCUUUGCAACAAUGGCCAGUGUACUGUGUGGCCUCAGGGAGAAAAACACGACCGGCCGCCGGCCAGUGUACUGUGCUCACUAGUAGAAAAAGGGCUUUUAGUCUCGAUUCUGGAACCGGGACUAAAGGGGAGGCUUUAGUAACGACCCUUUAGUCCCGGUUCUUACACGAACCGGGACUAAAGGCCCUCCACGUGGCCGCUGCCUGGAGGUUCACC
This is a long non-coding RNA of Triticum aestivum (bread wheat), 1740 nucleotides long. RefSeq lists it as uncharacterized. The transcript is spliced from 5 exons. Lineage: Eukaryota; Viridiplantae; Streptophyta; Magnoliopsida; Poales; Poaceae. The record is from RefSeq and is a predicted model, not a curated record.